Molecule: ribosomal RNA, 546 nt
Filed under: Balansia linearis
Lineage: Eukaryota; Fungi; Ascomycota; Sordariomycetes; Hypocreales; Clavicipitaceae
Description: partial large subunit ribosomal RNA
Rfam family: Eukaryotic large subunit ribosomal RNA
Source: RNAcentral
ACGGCGAGUGAGCGGCACAGCUCAAUUUGAAAUCUGGCCCCCCGGGCCCGAGUUGUAAUUUGAAGAGGAUGCUUUUGGUGAGGUGCCUUCCGAGUUCCCUGGAACGGGACGCCAUAGAGGGUGAGAGCCCCGUCUGGUCGGAUACCGAGCCUCUGUAAAGCUCCUUCGACGAGUCGAGUAGUUUGGGAAUGCUGCUCUAAAUGGGAGGUAUAUGUCUUCUAAAGCUAAAUACCGGCCAGAGACCGAUAGCGCACAAGUAGAGUGAUCGAAAGAUGAAAAGCACUUUGAAAAGAGGGUUAAACAGUACGUGAAAUUGUUAAAAGGGAAGCGCUUACGACCAGACUUGGUCCCGGUGAAUCACCUGGCGUUCUCGCCAGUGCACUUCACCGGGCUCCAGGCCAGCAUCAGUUCGUGCCGGGGGAAAAAGGCAGGGGGAAUGUAGCUCCUUCGGGCGUGUUAUAGCCCCCUGUGGAAUACCCUGGCGCGGACUGAGGUUCGCGCAUCUAGCAAGGAUGCUGGCGUAAUGGUCGUCGGCGACCCGUCUUG